Molecule: ribosomal RNA, 822 nt
Filed under: uncultured bacterium
Lineage: Bacteria
Description: bacterial SSU rRNA
Rfam family: Bacterial small subunit ribosomal RNA
Source: RNAcentral
GACGAACUCUGGCGGCGCGCCUAACACAUGCAAGUCGAACGAGCGAGAGAGAGCUUGCUUUCUCAAGCGAGUGGCGAACGGGUGAGUAACGCGUGAGGAACCUGCCUCAAAGAGGGGGACAACAGUUGGAAACGACUGCUAAUACCGCAUAAGCCCACGACCCGGCAUCGGGUAGAGGGAAAAGGAGCAAUCCGCUUUGAGAUGGCCUCGCGUCCGAUUAGCUAGUUGGUGAGGUAAUGGCCCACCAAGGCGACGAUCGGUAGCCGGACUGAGAGGUUGAACGGCCACAUUGGGACUGAGACACGGCCCAGACUCCUACGGGAGGCAGCAGUGGGGAAUAUUGCACAAUGGGGGAAACCCUGAUGCAGCGACGCCGCGUGGAGGAAGAAGGUCUUCGGAUUGUAAACUCCUGUUGUUGAGGAAGAUAAUGACGGUACUCAACAAGGAAGUGACGGCUAACUACGUGCCAGCAGCCGCGGUAAAACGUAGGUCACAAGCGUUGUCCGGAAUUACUGGGUGUAAAGGGAGCGCAGGCGGGAAGACAAGUUGGAAGUGAAAUCCAUGGGCUCAACCCAUGAACUGCUUUCAAAACUGUUUUUCUUGAGUAGUGCAGAGGUAGGCGGAAUUCCCGGUGUAGCGGUGGAAUGCGUAGAUAUCGGGAGGAACACCAGUGGCGAAGGCGGCCUACUGGGCACCAACUGACGCUGAGGCUCGAAAGUGUGGGUAGCAAACAGGAUUAGAUACCCUGGUAGUCCACACUGUAAACGAUGAUUAAUAGGUGUUGGAGGAUUGACCCCUUCAGUGCCGCAGUUAACACAAUAA